Molecule: ribosomal RNA, 253 nt
Filed under: uncultured bacterium
Lineage: Bacteria
Description: partial 16S ribosomal RNA
Rfam family: Bacterial small subunit ribosomal RNA
Source: RNAcentral
UACGUAGGGGGCGAGCGUUGUCCGGAAUCAUUGGGCGUAAAGCGCGUGUAGGCGGCUCGGCAAGUCGGGUGUGAAAGCCCUGGGCUUAACCUAGGAAGUGCACUCGAAACUGCCAAGCUUGAGUUCUGGAGAGGAAGGCGGAAUUCUCGGUGUAGAGGUGAAAUUCGUAGAUAUCGAGAGGAACACCGGUGGCGAAGGCGGCCUUCUGGACAGCAACUGACGCUGAGACGCGAAAGCGUGGGGAGCAAACAGG